Molecule: ribosomal RNA, 468 nt
Filed under: uncultured bacterium
Lineage: Bacteria
Description: partial 16S ribosomal RNA
Rfam family: Bacterial small subunit ribosomal RNA
Source: RNAcentral
GACGAACGCUGGCGGCGUGCUUAACACAUGCAAGUCGAACGGAAAGGCCCUGCUUUUGUGGGGUGCUCGAGUGGCGAACGGGUGAGUAACACGUGAGUAACCUGCCCUUGACUUUGGGAUAACUUCAGGAAACUGGGGCUAAUACCGGAUAGGAGCUCCUGCUGCAUGGUGGGGGUUGGAAAGUUUCGGCGGUUGGGGAUGGACUCGCGGCUUAUCAGCUUGUUGGUGGGGUAGAGGCUUACCAAGGCUUUGACGGGUAGCCGGCCUGAGAGGGUGACCGGCCACAUUGGGACUGAGAUACGGCCCAGACUCCUACGGGAGGCAGCAGUGGGGAAUAUUGCAGAAUGGGCGGAAGCCUGAUGCAGCAACGCCGCGUGCGGGAUGACGGCCUUCGGGUUGUAAACCGCUUUCGCCUGUGACGAAGCGUGAGUGACGGUAAUGGGUAAAGAAGCACCGGCUAACUACGUG